GGAGGGUGCGAGCGUUAAUCGGAAUUACUGGGCGUAAAGCGCGCGUAGGCGGCUAGGUCAGUCGGAUGUGAAAGCCCUGGGCUUAACCUGGGAAUUGCAUCCGAUACUGCCUGACUAGAAUAUGGGAGAGGGAAGUGGAAUUUCCGGUGUAGCGGUGAAAUGCGUAGAUAUCGGAAGGAACACCAGUGGCGAAGGCGACUUCCUGGCCCAAUAUUGACGCUGAGGUGCGAAAGCGUGGGUAGCGAACAGGGAUUAGAUACCCUGGUAGUCCACGCCGUAAACGAUGAGAACUAGAUGUCGGGAGGAUUUACCUCUCGGUGUCGCAGCUAACGCGUUAAGUUCUCCGCCUGGGGAUACGGUGGCAACACUA
This 370-nucleotide ribosomal RNA is filed under the name uncultured organism. RNAcentral's name for it is "partial 16S ribosomal RNA". It matches the Rfam family "Bacterial small subunit ribosomal RNA", at positions 527 to 896 of the family's 1533-position model. The record is from RNAcentral.